GAUGAACGCUAGCGGGAGGCCUAACACAUGCAAGCCGAGCGGUAGAGUUUCUUCGGAAACUUGAGAGCGGCGCACGGGUGCGUAACACGUGUGCAACCUACCUUUAUCUGGGGGAUAGCCUUUCGAAAGGAAGAUUAAUACCCCAUAAUAUAAUGAUUGGCAUCCAUUAUUAUUGAAAACUCCGGUGGAUAGAGAUGGGCACGCGCAAGAUUAGAUAGUUGGUGAGGUAACGGCUCACCAAGUCAAUGAUCUUUAGGGGUCCUGAGAGGGAGAUCCCCCACACGGGUACUGAGACACGGACCAGACUCCUACGGGAGGCAGCAGUGAGGAAGAGUGGACAAGGGGUGAGAGCCUGAUCCAGCCAUCCCGCGUGAAGGAUGACGGUCCGAUGGAUUGUAAACUUCUUUUGUACAGGGAUAAACCUACCCUCGGGAGGGUAGCUGAAGGUACUGUACGAAUAAGCACCGGCUAACUCCGUG
Molecule: ribosomal RNA, 479 nt
Filed under: uncultured bacterium
Lineage: Bacteria
Description: partial 16S ribosomal RNA
Rfam family: Bacterial small subunit ribosomal RNA
Source: RNAcentral